RNAcentral lists this ribosomal RNA (253 nucleotides) under uncultured bacterium. Its description in RNAcentral is "partial 16S ribosomal RNA". It matches the Rfam family "Bacterial small subunit ribosomal RNA", at positions 524 to 776 of the family's 1533-position model. The record is from RNAcentral.
GACGUAGGGCGCGAGCGUUGUCCGGAUUUAUUGGGCGUAAAGAGCUCGUAGGCGGCUUGUCGCGUCGUUCGUGAAAACCCGGGGCUCAACUCCGGGCUUGCGGGCGAUACGGGCAGGCUAGAGUUCGGUAGGGGAGAAUGGAAUUCCUGGUGUAGCGGUGAAAUGCGCAGAUAUCAGGAAGAACACCCGUGGCUAAGGCGGUUCUCUAGUACGGUACUGACGCUGAGACGCGAAAGCGUGGGGAGCGAACAGG